RNAcentral lists this ribosomal RNA (477 nucleotides) under uncultured bacterium. Its description in RNAcentral is "bacterial SSU rRNA". It matches the Rfam family "Bacterial small subunit ribosomal RNA", at positions 62 to 571 of the family's 1533-position model. The record is from RNAcentral.
UCGAACGAGAAAGUGGAGCAAUCCAUGAGUAAAGUGGCGACCGGGUGAGUAACACGUGACUAACCUGCCUUCGAGUGGGGGAUAACCUCGGGAAACCGGGGCUAAUACCGCAUAAUGCCUACGGGUUAAAGGAGCAAUUCGCUUGAAGAGGGGGUCGCGGCUGAUUAGCUAGUUGGCGGGGUAACGGCCCACCAAGGCGAUGAUCGGUAGCCGGCCUGAGAGGGCGCACGGCCACACUGGAACUGAAACACGAUCCAGACUCCUACGGGAGGCAGCAGUGGGGAAUUUUGCGCAAUGGGGGAAACCCUGACGCAGCAACGCCGCGUGGAGGAUGAAGUCCUUUGGGACGUAAACUCCUUUCGACCGGGACGAUAAUGACGGUACCGGUGGAAGAAGCCCCGGCUAACUUCGUGCCAGCAGCCGCGGUAAUACGAGGGGGGCAAGCGUUGUUCGGAAUUAUUGGGCGUAAAGGGCGCG